UUAGUUCACCGUCGGCGGCCUUUUAGCCAUUGCUUUGUCGAUUUGAUUAUCAAGGUGUCCCGUCCCGUGUGUUAAUUAAAGGUCAAAUUGACGGCAUUUUGGUUAGAUUGACGCGUUGGCGUGUGAGUGGCUAAUUGAAUGUUUGUGUUGGCCGGCUCCCUGCUUGUGCAGCGAACUGUCGGCGCAUACAUUUUUCAGUCUAGACGGAGUUAUGGUUGUUGGAUUUUUGUGUUGCCUACCCAAUUGAUGGAAUUCUUAUGGCGGCUAAUGUGUAAAUUCGUCGAACACCACUUGUGGUGCUAGGCGGACGUUGAAGCCACCCCUUUUUUUGCCAUGUGCUUUCUUUUUCGGGAACCAUGGAAAAAUGGCGGUGUUGCUUGUUGCCUCGGAUGCAUAGCAUGAAGCGAGUAUGUUGCCUGUCCUCAUUGCUCAUUCAGAGCUCUCGGUUGCUCGGAAAGAAAGACCGUCGCGCUUGUUUUUGGCUGUCGACUUGUCGAUCUAGCUCUUAACUUUGCCGACGUCUUCGAUGAUUGCUACCUGGGUGAUCCUGCCAGUAGUCAUAUGCUUGUCUCAAAGAUUAAGCCAUGCAGGGUGUAAGUAA
RNAcentral lists this unclassified non-coding RNA (601 nucleotides) under Villadia grandisepala. RNAcentral's name for it is "Sedum grandisepalum partial contains external transcribed spacer and 18S ribosomal RNA". The stretch from base 535 to 601 matches the Rfam family "Eukaryotic small subunit ribosomal RNA", at positions 1 to 66 of the family's 1831-position model. Lineage: Eukaryota; Viridiplantae; Streptophyta; Magnoliopsida; Saxifragales; Crassulaceae. The record is from RNAcentral.